RNAcentral lists this ribosomal RNA (200 nucleotides) under Clostridioides difficile. RNAcentral's name for it is "partial 23S ribosomal RNA". It matches the Rfam family "Bacterial large subunit ribosomal RNA", at positions 2722 to 2925 of the family's 2925-position model. Lineage: Bacteria; Bacillati; Bacillota; Clostridia; Peptostreptococcales; Peptostreptococcaceae. The record is from RNAcentral.
UGUCCUGCCAAGGGCAUGGCUGGGUAGCUAUGUACGGAAUGGAUAAGCGCUGAAAGCAUCUAAGCGCGAAGCCAACUUCAAGAUAAGAUUUCCCACCGCAAGGGUAAGACCCCAGAAAGACUAUCUGGUUGAUAGGUCGAAGGUGUAAGUGCAGCAAUGUAUUUAGCUUAUCGAUACUAAUAGGUCGAGGACUUGACCAA